AUACGGAGGGAGCAAGCGUUAUUCGGAAUCACUGGGCGUAAAGGACGCGUAGGCGGGUUUGUAAGUCAGGUGUGAAAUCCUACAGUUCAACUGUAGAACUGCACUUGAAACUACAGACCUAGAGUAUGGAAGGGGCAGAUGGAAUUAGUGGUGUAGGGGUAAAAUCCGUAGAUAUCACUAGGAAUACCGAAAGCGAAGGCGAUCUGCUGGGACAUUACUGACGCUGAGGCGUGAAAGCGUGGGGAGCAAACAGGAUUAGAAACCCCUGUAGUCC
Molecule: ribosomal RNA, 274 nt
Filed under: uncultured bacterium
Lineage: Bacteria
Description: partial 16S ribosomal RNA
Rfam family: Bacterial small subunit ribosomal RNA
Source: RNAcentral